UGAGAGGGUGAUCGGCCACACUGGAACUGAGACACGGUCCAGACUCCUACGGGAGGCAGCAGUAGGGAAUCUUCCGCAAUGGGCGAAAGCCUGACGGAGCAACGCCGCGUGAGUGAUGAAGGUCUUCGGAUCGUAAAACUCUGUUAUUAGGGAAGAACAAAUGUGUAAGUAACUAUGCACGUCUUGACGGUACCUAAUCAGAAAGCCACGGCUAACUACGUGCCAGCAGCCGCGGUAAUACGUAGGUGGCAAGCGUUAUCCGGAAUUAUUGGGCGUAAAGCGCGCGUAGGCGGUUUUUUAAGUCUGAUGUGAAAGCCCACGGCUCAACCGUGGAGGGUCAUUGGAAACUGGAAAACUUGAGUGCAGAAGAGGAAAGUGGAAUUCCAUGUGU
This 391-nucleotide ribosomal RNA is filed under the name Staphylococcus sp. Its description in RNAcentral is "bacterial SSU rRNA". It matches the Rfam family "Bacterial small subunit ribosomal RNA", at positions 293 to 676 of the family's 1533-position model. The record is from RNAcentral. Lineage: Bacteria; Bacillati; Bacillota; Bacilli; Caryophanales; Staphylococcaceae.